This 358-nucleotide long non-coding RNA is filed under the name Rattus norvegicus (Norway rat). Its description in RNAcentral is "long non-coding RNA NONRATT017938". The record is from RNAcentral. Lineage: Eukaryota; Metazoa; Chordata; Mammalia; Rodentia; Muridae.
CCUGCCAGGCGUAGCAAGCGUAUCAGGAGCUCAGCCCCUGUGCACCAGACAUCGGACUCCAGCAGUGACGACGGCAUUGAGGAAGCCAUUCAGCUGUACCAGCUAGAGAAAACCAGGAAGGAGGCCAGUGGGGACCAACCUCUGAGAGCCCAGCCGAAAGAGGAAAGCCCUGGUAGUACCCAGCCAAGUGCCUUGCCUGAAGCCCACAGGAGACCCCCUAGCAAGAAAAAGGUGGCAGUUCCAAAGGUUAUAGACACCACCCAGGGGGGCCUCCACCCUGACCCCCUCUCUAAGCUCCUAACAGAUUCGAGAACCUCUGUAUCUCCAGGACACACAGCUGCCAAAAGUGACGCUGUGC